CUGUGAGAUUACAUAUGCAUAUAGUGUUAAUGUUAUAAGAGUGUAGUAUCAACUCACAAAGUUAUCAGGUUAAAUAGCUUUAUCAACUAAUAAAAAUGUUAUUGCAUCACUAAUGUUAUACUGUAGCCCCGCCACGAUAUCUAGCAAAAAUUAUUUUGCUGAGUAUCGUAGUAAAAGUUAAGAUAUGAUGUUAAGAAUUUUUUUGAGUCGUGCAACAACAUUAACAGCAAACUAUAAUACAAAUCUAUCUUUUUAAAAGUUUGUAUUGCU
RNAcentral lists this unclassified non-coding RNA (270 nucleotides) under Rickettsia massiliae. Lineage: Bacteria; Pseudomonadati; Pseudomonadota; Alphaproteobacteria; Rickettsiales; Rickettsiaceae. The record is from RNAcentral.